RNAcentral lists this transfer RNA (59 nucleotides) under Loxodonta africana (African savanna elephant). The record is from Rfam by way of RNAcentral. Lineage: Eukaryota; Metazoa; Chordata; Mammalia; Proboscidea; Elephantidae.
UGGUGCAGUGGUUAAGCAUGCUCAGCUGCUAACUGUAAGGCCGGUGGUUCAAACCCGCC